This 740-nucleotide ribosomal RNA is filed under the name Apilactobacillus kunkeei. Its description in RNAcentral is "bacterial SSU rRNA". It matches the Rfam family "Bacterial small subunit ribosomal RNA", at positions 342 to 1072 of the family's 1533-position model. The record is from RNAcentral. Lineage: Bacteria; Bacillati; Bacillota; Bacilli; Lactobacillales; Lactobacillaceae.
UUGCAGCCACCCCUGUAUAGAUCUUCCACAAUGGACGAAAGUCUGAUGGAGCAACGCCGCGUGAGUGAUGAAGGUUUUUCGGAUCGUAAAACUCUGUUGUUAAAGAAGAACAAGUGUUAGAGUAACUGUUAACACUUUGACGGUAUUUAACCAGAAAGCCACGGCUAACUACGUGCCAGCAGCCGCGGUAAUACGUAGGUGGCAAGCGUUGUCCGGAUUUAUUGGGCGUAAAGCGAGCGCAGGCGGUUUUGUAAGUCUGCUGUGAAAGCCCUCAGCUCAACUGAGGAAGUGCAGUGGAAACUACAAAACUUGAGUACAGAAGAGGAAAGUGGAACUCCAUGUGUAGCGGUGAAAUGCGUAGAUAUAUGGAAGAACACCAGUGGCGAAGGCGGCUUUCUGGUCUGUUACUGACGCUGAGGCUCGAAAGCAUGGGUAGCGAACAGGAUUAGAUACCCUGGUAGUCCAUGCCGUAAACGAUGAAUACUAGGUGUUGGAGGGUUUCCGCCCUUCAGUGCCGCAGCUAACGCAUUAAGUAUUCCGCCUGGGGAGUACGACCGCAAGGUUGAAACUCAAAGGAAUUGACGGGGGCCCGCACAAGUGGUGGAGCAUGUGGUUUAAUUCGAUGCUACGCGAAGAACCUUACCAGCUCUUGACAUCUUCUGCCAACCCAAGAGAUUGGGCGUUCCCUUCGGGGACAGAAUGACAGGUGGUGCAUGGUGUCGUCCGCCCUUCCGCUCGCU